RNAcentral lists this ribosomal RNA (496 nucleotides) under uncultured bacterium. RNAcentral describes it as "partial 16S ribosomal RNA". It matches the Rfam family "Bacterial small subunit ribosomal RNA", at positions 28 to 506 of the family's 1533-position model. The record is from RNAcentral.
GACGAACGCUGGCGGCGUGCCUAAUACAUGCAAGUUGAGCGCUGAAGGUUGGUACUUGUACCAACUGGAUGAGCAGCGAACGGGUGAGUAACGCGUGGGGAAUCUGCCUUUGAGCGGGGGACAACAUUUGGAAACGAAUGCUGAUACCGCAUAGAAACUUUAAACACAAGUUUUAAGUUUGAAAGAUGCAAUUGCAUCACUCAAAGAUGAUCCCGCGUUGUAUUAGCUAGUUGGUGAGGUAAAGGCUCACCAAGGCGAUGAUACAUAGCCGACCUGAGAGGGUGAUCGGCCACAUUGGGACUGAGACACGGCCCAAACUCCUACGGGAGGCAGCAGUAGGGAAUCUUCGGCAAUGGACGAAAGUCUGACCGAGCAACGCCGCGUGAGUGAAGAAGGUUUUCGGAUCGUAAAACUCUGUUGGUAGAGAAGAACGUUGGUGAGAGUGGAAAGCUCAUCAAGUGACGGUAACUACCCAGAAAGGGACGGCUAACUACGU